CCAAUAGCGUAUAUUAAAGUUGUUGCAGUUAAAAAGCUCGUAGUUGAAUUUCGGGAUCAAAUUGUCGGUCGUGCCUCGGUACGUACUGGUAUUAUUGGUUCCUCCCUUCUGACGAACCACGAUGUCAUUAAUUUGGUGUCAUGGGAAAUCAGGACUGUUACUUUGAAAAAAUUAGAGUGUUUAAAGCAGGCUCGCGCUUGAAUACAUUAGCAUGGAAUAAUGAAAUAGGACGUUUGAUUCUAUUUUGUUGGUUUCUAGGAUCGACGUAAUGAUUAAUAGGGAUAGUUGGGGGCAUUAGUAUUCAAUUGUCAGAGGUGAAAUUCUUGGAUUUAUUGAAGACUAACUACUGCGAAAGCAUUUGCCAAGGAUGUUUUCAUUAAUCAAGAACGAAAGUUAGGGGAUCGAAGACGAUCAGAUACCGUCGUAGUCUUAACCAUAAACUAUGCCGACUAGGGAUCGGAUGAUGUUAAUUUUUUAAUGACUC
This 484-nucleotide ribosomal RNA is filed under the name uncultured Glomus. Its description in RNAcentral is "SSU rRNA". It matches the Rfam family "Eukaryotic small subunit ribosomal RNA", at positions 591 to 1077 of the family's 1831-position model. The record is from RNAcentral. Lineage: Eukaryota; Fungi; Glomeromycota; Glomeromycetes; Glomerales; Glomeraceae.